CCUACGGGUGGCAGCAGUGGGGAAUAUUGCACAAUGGGGGGAACCCUGAUGCAGCGACGCCGCGUGAGUGAAGAAGUAUUUCGGUAUGUAAAGCUCUAUCAGCAGGGAAGAAGAUGACGGUACCUGACUAAGAAGCCCCGGCUAACUACGUGCCAGCAGCCGCGGUAAUACGUAGGGGGCAAGCGUUAUCCGGAUUUACUGGGUGUAAAGGGAGCGUAGACGGCAGGGCAAGUCUGGAGUGAAAGCCCGGGGCCCAACCCCGGGACUGCUUUGGAAACUGCCAUGCUAGAGUGCUGGAGAGGUAAGCGGAAUUCCUAGUGUAGCGGUGAAAUGCGUAGAUAUUAGGAGGAACACCAGUGGCGAAGGCAGCAUACCGGCGCUCAACUGACGCUCAUGCACGAAAGCGUGGGUAUCGAACAGGAUUAGAUACCCCUGUAGUC
RNAcentral lists this ribosomal RNA (440 nucleotides) under uncultured bacterium. Its description in RNAcentral is "partial 16S ribosomal RNA". It matches the Rfam family "Bacterial small subunit ribosomal RNA", at positions 338 to 795 of the family's 1533-position model. The record is from RNAcentral.